UACGUAGGGUGCGAGCGUUGUCCGGAAUUACUGGGCGUAAAGAGCUCGUAGGUGGUUUGUCGCGUUGUUCGUGAAAACCGGGGGCUUAACCCUCGGCGUGCGGGCGAUACGGGCAGACUUGAGUACUGCAGGGGAGACUGGAAUUCCUGGUGUAGCGGUGGAAUGCGCAGAUAUCAGGAGGAACACCGGUGGCGAAGGCGGAUCUCUGGGCCUUACCUGACGCUCAGGUGCGAAAGCUAGGGGAGCGAACAGG
RNAcentral lists this ribosomal RNA (253 nucleotides) under uncultured bacterium. RNAcentral describes it as "partial 16S ribosomal RNA". It matches the Rfam family "Bacterial small subunit ribosomal RNA", at positions 524 to 776 of the family's 1533-position model. The record is from RNAcentral.